CACGGGGGGAGCAAGCGUUGUUCGGAAUCACUGGGCGUAAAGGGCGUGUAGGCGGUCUGAUAAGUGGGAUGUGAAAGCCCCCGGCUCACCCGGGGAUCUGCAUUCCAAACUGCCAGACUUGAGUAUGGGAGAGGAUAGGGGAAUUCCUGGUGUAGCGGUGAAAUGCGUAGAUAUCAGGAGGAACACCGGUGGCGAAGGCGCCUAUCUGGCCCAAUACUGACGCUGAGGCGCGAAAGCUAGGGGAGCAAACGGG
Molecule: ribosomal RNA, 253 nt
Filed under: uncultured bacterium
Lineage: Bacteria
Description: partial 16S ribosomal RNA
Rfam family: Bacterial small subunit ribosomal RNA
Source: RNAcentral